This 305-nucleotide ribosomal RNA is filed under the name uncultured bacterium. Its description in RNAcentral is "bacterial SSU rRNA". It matches the Rfam family "Bacterial small subunit ribosomal RNA", at positions 333 to 652 of the family's 1533-position model. The record is from RNAcentral.
UCAUGCCUACGGGGCGCAGCAGUGGGGAAUAUUGGGCAAUGGGCGCAAGCCUGACCCAGCAACGCCGCGUGAAGGAAGAAGGCUUUCGGGUUGUAAACUUCUUUUGUCAGGGACGAAGCAAGUGACGGUACCUGACGAAUAAGCCACGGCUAACUACGUGCCAGCAGCCGCGGUAAUACGUAGGUGGCAAGCGUUAUCCGGAUUUACUGGGUGUAAAGGGAGCGUAGACGGAAAGGCAAGUCAGAAGUGAAAACCCAAGGCUCAACCAUGGGACUGCUUUUGAAACUGUCAAACUAGAGUACGGG